GCGAGAUAAUAAUCGUACAAUAAGUCAGUUUGAGAACAGUUGCAUCAUUACUGUAGGCAUAUAAGUGUUCUAUUCUUACACUAUGGUGUAGGUUGAGAUAGACACAAUAAUUAAAUAUAGUGAUCUAUCCAGCCAAAGGGUAUGAUUUUGUUCGAUUAGUACCUAUGGUGAACGAGCGACCCGCUGGAACAGUGAUAAUAUUCUUUGCGUAUUAUCUCUGGAAUGUGUGGGUUAUUUAUUGAUUAGUCGAUUAUUCUGAUAAAUAAUCUACAAAAUAUAACGCACGUAUUUUGCUCUCAGAUGUUCUUAUGUAGAGUGCGUACAAGCUUGAUUUAAUCAAAAUCAUCUGUUACCGAUAACAUGAUUUGCAUGCGUCGCAGCAGAAAAAGAAAGGACGCUCGGGACCACAGUGGACGGGUGCCUUAAGACUUUAUGCCACUUAAGAAGAAACUAAGAGGUCUUUACGCACCAUAUCAGAUUUCAUUGAUUUCCAGCUACUGUGAUUUACUCCGUCACGAGCUAUGAAUGAAAACAGCUUGGAUACGCUAUUAUCAAAAAUCGGAGAGUUUGGACGAUACCAAAUUCGGGUUAUAACGUUACUCCUCCUGGUAAUCGCGUUUUCGUACGUUGCCUCAAUUUCUUGGCUAUUUGAAACUAAAAACCUAAAUUAUAGGUACAGUCUCUUGUAAAAGUAAUGUCCCUCAGAUAC
Long non-coding RNA from Photinus pyralis (common eastern firefly), 709 nucleotides. RefSeq lists it as uncharacterized. The transcript has 3 exons. Lineage: Eukaryota; Metazoa; Arthropoda; Insecta; Coleoptera; Lampyridae. The record is from RefSeq and is a predicted model, not a curated record.